Molecule: long non-coding RNA, 390 nt
Filed under: Bos taurus (domestic cattle)
Lineage: Eukaryota; Metazoa; Chordata; Mammalia; Artiodactyla; Bovidae
Description: long non-coding RNA NONBTAT011716
Source: RNAcentral
CCUAGGAUAAAUGCUAGCAGACUUCAUUAGGCCUGAGAACAUCCUGCUUGACACUCAAAUCCCAGGUCACACCUGAGGCUCUUGGAACUGAAUUCAGAUUGAACAGAAAAUUCUGUCCCUGUGAGAGAUUCCCACUGUAGAGCCCAGUAUCUUCCUGCUAAGUUAUCAUGAUUUGAUUCCUCCAAUCAUAGCAUAGGUCAUUUCUGAGAAGAGCAAACCUGCCAAGCCAAGGGGAACUUUGGUUCAGUUAAUUCUAUCCAGAGCCACACCUACGCCUCUGGAGCUGCAUUUGGAUCCCAAAGUCCCCUGUGACCCAGGGACAAGCAGAGGCAGAGGCAAGACCCAGCUCCCUGUCAACACGUUGCGUCAGCCUUCAGUGCAUCAUCUGAA